AAGUCGUAACAAGGUUUCCGUAGGUGAACCUGCGGAAGGAUCAUUACAAAUCCAUCCACGUCUCUUUGAGACCACGUUGAAAUGUUCCCCAGACCGGGCGGGUCUCUCCCUGGGAGAGGUCCCCGAUCCCGGCCUGGGCUGUGAAACGAGUGUUACCUUGUUGCCCAAAUGUAUCUUGAUUUCAAUCAAACGAAAACUUGUACAACUUAUAACAAUGGAUCUCUAGGCUCUU
RNAcentral lists this unclassified non-coding RNA (232 nucleotides) under fungal sp. RNAcentral's name for it is "partial internal transcribed spacer region". The stretch from base 1 to 46 matches the Rfam family "Eukaryotic small subunit ribosomal RNA", at positions 1786 to 1831 of the family's 1831-position model. The record is from RNAcentral. Lineage: Eukaryota; Fungi.